RNAcentral lists this ribosomal RNA (460 nucleotides) under uncultured bacterium. RNAcentral's name for it is "partial 16S ribosomal RNA". It matches the Rfam family "Bacterial small subunit ribosomal RNA", at positions 338 to 795 of the family's 1533-position model. The record is from RNAcentral.
CCUACGGGGGGCAGCAGUGAGGAAUAUUGGUCAAUGGACGAGAGUCUGAACCAGCCAAGUAGCGUGAAGGAUGACUGCCCUAUGGGUUGUAAACUUCUUUUAUAUGGGAAUAAAAUGUUCCACGUGUGGGAUUUUGUAUGUACCAUAUGAAUAAGGAUCGGCUAACUCCGUGCCAGCAGCCGCGGUAAUACGGUGGAUCCGAGCGUUAUCCGGAUUUAUUGGGUUUAAAGGGAGCGUAGGUGGAUUGUUAAGUCAGUUGUGAAAGUUUGCGGCUCAACCGUAAAAUUGCAGUUGAAACUGGCAGUCUUGAGUACAGUAGAGGUGGGCGGAAUUCGUGGUGUAGCGGUGAAAUGCUUAGAUAUCACGAAGAACUCCGAUUGCGAAGGCAGUUCACUGGACUGCAACUGACACUGAGGCGCGAAAGUGUGGGUAUCAAACAGGAUUAGAUACCCCGGUAGUC